Pangasianodon gigas (Mekong giant catfish) is the source of this 73-nucleotide non-coding RNA. NCBI's taxonomy places the organism in Eukaryota, Metazoa, Chordata, Actinopteri, Siluriformes, Pangasiidae. The record is from the annotation of a GenBank genome assembly.
GGCAGUGGUGGCUCAACGGUUAAGGCUCUGGGGUACUGAUCAGGUGGUAGGGGUUCAAGCCCCAGUACUGCCA